Molecule: long non-coding RNA, 358 nt
Filed under: Zosterops lateralis melanops
Lineage: Eukaryota; Metazoa; Chordata; Aves; Passeriformes; Zosteropidae
Description: lncRNA (ENSZLMG00000007332.1)
Source: RNAcentral
UUGAAUCCCCCUUUCCUAAAUGUGGAUCCCCCUUCACUAAAACUGCAUCCUCUUUUCCCAUAUAUGGAUCCCCUUUUCCCAUAUAUGGAUCCCCUUUUCCCAUAUAUGGAUCCCCUUUUCCUAAAAUCAGAUCCCCCUUUCCUAAAUAUGGAUCCCCCUUUCCUAAAACCGGACCCCCCUUUCCCAAAAUCGGACUCCGCUUUCCUAAAAUUGGAUCUCCCUUUCCUCAAACCAGAUCCCUCUUUCCUAAAAUUGGGAAAAACAUAUUUUUAAUUUUUUUUUUUAAUCGGUGAAUAAACCACCGCGGUCACCAAACCCCUUUUGUGCUCCGACGUUUCCUUCCACAACCUUGGAAUUC